CAGUAGCCACGGGAAUACGUAGGGUGCGAGCGUUAAUCGGAAUUACUGGGCGUAAAGCGUGCGCAGGCGGUCUUGUAAGACAGGCGUGAAAACCCCGGGCUCAACCUGGGAAUGGCAGUGGAUACUGGCUCGCUAGAGUGUGUCAGAGGAUGGUGGAAUUCCCGGUGUAGCGGUGAAAUGCGUAGAGAUCGGGAGGAACAUCAGUGGCGAAGGCGGCCAUCUGGGACAACACUGACGCUGAGGCACGAAAGCGUGGGGAGCAAACAGGAUUAGAUACCCGCGUAGUCCCUGUCUCUUAUAC
This 301-nucleotide ribosomal RNA is filed under the name uncultured bacterium. RNAcentral describes it as "partial 16S ribosomal RNA". It matches the Rfam family "Bacterial small subunit ribosomal RNA", at positions 509 to 807 of the family's 1533-position model. The record is from RNAcentral.